This 53-nucleotide ribosomal RNA is filed under the name Nitrospirae bacterium CG11_big_fil_rev_8_21_14_0_20_41_14. RNAcentral's name for it is "partial 23S ribosomal RNA". Lineage: Bacteria; Pseudomonadati; Nitrospirota. The record is from RNAcentral.
GUGCAGUAAUGCAUUGAGCUGACCAGUACUAAUAGACCGUGUGACUUGACCCU